This 956-nucleotide long non-coding RNA is filed under the name Homo sapiens (human). Its description in RNAcentral is "non-protein coding lnc-CNTNAP2-3:2". Lineage: Eukaryota; Metazoa; Chordata; Mammalia; Primates; Hominidae. The record is from RNAcentral.
AGAAUUUACUUUAGUAUGUCUGUAGCUGUUGGCUGCUUUGAUUGCGGACAGCAUGUACGAGAAAUCAAAAGGAAAAGUGAAGAGGAGAGAGAAUACUGACAAGAGGGGAGAUGGCAGGACAAAUAUCCUAGGAGUCCUGCUUUCCAUGAUCAGCUAAGUAUACACAGCUCUGAUCUAAGCCUCCCAUUAUGGAGAAUCUUCAGAGGAGCACACGUCUUUGCUGGCUGGCAUAUCAACAUUCAUGAUCCUGGCAUGUGGAAGAAUACUCUGAUUAUUGCCCAAGACAUUAGCAUUAAAAAUUCCUUCUAAGGCAUUUCUUUAUUCUUAAGUAAAUCCUGUUAAGGAAAAAUAGGAAUGUAUAAGCGAUUAAUAAAUUAAGGUGAGUUACUUUCUAAUUUGACAGAAUUGGGAGCUUUUAGCAAAUAAGGACAUUGCCCAGAGAGGAAAAGCAGAUAAUUCAGAGUGCUCAGAAGCUAGAGUUGGCUUUUUAGGGGAACUAACUUAAGAGUAAAGAGACUCCUUUAUGUCUAUUUAUUGUUUAUGAAAUUGAUGUAGAUGUUACUUUAAUAAUUGACUUACAUAACAUUAUUGAUAUUUUUCUACCCUGAUUUUUCAAGUGAUCUGUGUUCUUUAUAUUUUGACUUCUCUAUAAUAUUUUGCACAAAUGAUAAUCAGAAAUCACAAUGUGCUAAGUCUAAAUGAACUUUAGAAAGAGAAUGACAAACAAUUUGAUUCAAGAUUAACAUUAUAAUUGACAUUCUUAAAAAAAUAUUUCAGCAUUACUACAUAAGGAUCAUGUUACUUUUGUAAUUUUUCUAUUGUUAUGUGAUAAAUCAAAGAGGUAAAGAAAAAUAAAGGAUACAAGACAAAUGAUUAGAGUUCAUUGUAAGCUGGGAAGAAAGCAAUUCUUGUUAACUAAGUCAAAUUGAAAGCGAAUACACCUAAGAAAGUGUAAA